Molecule: ribosomal RNA, 143 nt
Filed under: Lotharella globosa
Lineage: Eukaryota; Cercozoa; Chlorarachniophyceae
Description: partial Eukaryotic small subunit ribosomal RNA
Source: RNAcentral
CCCUAUAGCCCUUCACCCUUUAAAAAAAAAAAAGUGAUGUAUGCAGUCAUAAAAUUCUUACCUGGUCAAAUACGUAUGAUAUCCUAUAUCCUAUAUAUUGUUUGGUUGGUUGUGUAGGCGAUAGGAAGAUUGGGAGCGAUAAG